GUGCCAGCAGCCGCGGUAAUACGUAGGGUUUGAGCGUUAAUCGGAAUUACUGGGCGUAAAGCGUGCGCAGGCGGUUGUGCAAGACAGAUGUGAAAUCCCCGGGCUCAACCUGGGAAUUGCAUUCGAGACUGAAUAGCUAGGGUGCGGCAGAGGGAAGCGGAAUUUCCGGUGUAGCGGUGAAAUGCGUAGAUAUCGGAAGGAACAUCAGUGGCGAAAGCGGCUUCCUGGACCAGCACCGACGUUCAGGCACGAAAGCGUGGGGAGCAAACAGGAUUGGACACCCUGGUAGUCCACGCCAUAAACGAUGAGGACUAGACGUUGGAUGGGUAAGCCUUCCAGUGUCGUAGCUAACGCGCUAAGUCCUCCGCCUGGGGAGUACGGCCGCAAGGUUGAAACUCAAAUGAAUUGACGG
This 412-nucleotide ribosomal RNA is filed under the name uncultured bacterium. RNAcentral describes it as "bacterial SSU rRNA". It matches the Rfam family "Bacterial small subunit ribosomal RNA", at positions 505 to 916 of the family's 1533-position model. The record is from RNAcentral.